Molecule: ribosomal RNA, 680 nt
Filed under: uncultured bacterium
Lineage: Bacteria
Description: bacterial SSU rRNA
Rfam family: Bacterial small subunit ribosomal RNA
Source: RNAcentral
AGAGUUUGAUCCUGGCUCAGAUUGAACGCUGGCGGCAUGCCUAACACAUGCAAGUCGAACGGAAACGAUGGGAGCUUGCUCCCAGGCGUCGAGUGGCGAACGGGUGAGUAACGCGUGGGAAUCUGCCCGGUAGUGGGGGAUAGCCCGGAGAAAUCCGGAUUAAUACCGCAUACGCUCUACGGAGGAAAGGUGGCCUCUGCUUGCAAGCUACCGCUAUCGGAUGAGCCCGCGUUGGAUUAGCUAGUUGGUGGGGUAAAGGCCUACCAAGGCGACGAUCCAUAGCUGGUCUGAGAGGAUGAUCAGCCACAUUGGGACUGAGACACGGCCCAGACUCCUACGGGAGGCAGCAGUGGGGAAUAUUGGACAAUGGGCGCAAGCCUGAUCCAGCAAUGCCGCGUGUGUGAAGAAGGCCUGCGGGUUGUAAAGCACUUUUGUGAGGGAAGAAAGGCCCUGGGCGAAUAGUCCGGGCGUCUUGACGGUACCUCAAGAAUAAGCACCGGCUAACUCCGUGCCAGCAGCCGCGGUAAUACGGAGGGUGCGAGCGUUAAUCGGAAUUACUGGGCGUAAAGGGUGCGUAGGCGGCUUGAUAAGUCGGAUGUGAAAGCCCCGGGCUUAACCUGGGAAUUGCAUUCGAUACUGUCAGGCUAGAGUAUGUCAGAGGUUGGCGGAAUUCCUAGUGU